This 490-nucleotide ribosomal RNA is filed under the name uncultured bacterium. RNAcentral's name for it is "partial 16S ribosomal RNA". It matches the Rfam family "Bacterial small subunit ribosomal RNA", at positions 36 to 507 of the family's 1533-position model. The record is from RNAcentral.
AUUGCCCCCUUUCUUCAUUCCUAACACAUGCAAGUCGAACGGUAACAGGAAGCAGCUUGCUGCUUCGCUGACGAGUGGCGGACGGGUGAGUAAUGUCUGGGAAGCUGCCUGAUGGAGGGGGAUAACUACUGGAAACGGUAGCUAAUACCGCAUAAUGUCGCAAGACCAAAGAGGGGGACCUUCGGGCCUCUUGCCAUCGGAUGUGCCCAGAUGGGAUUAGCUUGUUGGUGGGGUAACGGCUCACCAAGGCGACGAUCCCUAGCUGGUCUGAGAGGAUGACCAGCCACACUGGAACUGAGACACGGUCCAGACUCCUACGGGAGGCAGCAGUGGGGAAUAUUGCACAAUGGGCGCAAGCCUGAUGCAGCCAUGCCGCGUGUAUGAAGAAGGCCUUCGGGUUGUAAAGUACUUUCAGCGGGGAGGAAGGGAGUAAAGUUAAUACCUUUGCUCAUUGACGUUACCCGCAGAAGAAGCACCGGCUAACUCCGUG